Molecule: long non-coding RNA, 271 nt
Filed under: Carica papaya (papaya)
Lineage: Eukaryota; Viridiplantae; Streptophyta; Magnoliopsida; Brassicales; Caricaceae
Description: long non-coding RNA (CPAP_LNC002693)
Source: RNAcentral
CAUAUUCCAGGGCCGUCCCCAUACCCCGUCCGGUAUGGGCGCCAAAACACAUAAGAUCUUCAUACCCCGUCCGGUAUGGGAGACCACAAUCCCGGUAGGGUUCCCUACGGACCCGGUCCGUCCACCAUCUCCCAGGAUGUCUAGUCAGGCUGAACACAUUAUAUAAUUUCCAUUUACAUAAUCUUUCAUUCUCCUUUUCCCUCAGUCAGCAUUAUCAAUCACAUACAAACAAGCAAAAUGAUAAUUUAUGCCAAAAAGACAACAUACAACA